CCUCUGUAUUGUAGAUCUACAUAUCCCUCUAUCUUCAGAUAAAGAGAGAGAUAGCUAUAGAUGUACACUACACAUAUAGGUAUAGAAAUGUACUUCUUUAUAUUGCUGUUCAGACCCAAAAUAUGGACAGUUAUUUUUAAGAGGGAGAGGGACCAUUGCUAAAGAAAGCCAAAGAAAGGAGAGACUGCAGUCAGUAGCAAUAUAAAUAGCAAGAAAUCAAGACAUCGGAAGAAGGCUAGGAAUGGGAAGGGCAGCUAUGAAAGAGUAACGACCCUAAAGUGUAAGGAUAGAGAUAUAAAACUGAACACCAAAGUUAUGAUCAUCCAAUCCAUUGUAUUCCUUAUUGCCAUGUAUGGACGUGAGAACUGGAUCAACUCAUUUGAGAUGUGGUGCUGGAGAAGAGGACUGAGGAUCCCAUGGAUAGCCAAAAUGACUAAUAAAUAGGCCCCAGAGCAAGGCAUGAUGGAGUAGUGGCUUGAGCGUUGGACUAGGAUUCUGGAGAACUGGGUUCGAAUGCUGGCUCAGCCAUGUGAACCCACUGCGUAACCCUGGGCAAAUCAUACUCUCUCAGCCUCGGAGGAUGGGAAUGGCAAACCCCCUCUGAAGAAACAUGCCAAGAAAACACUGAUAGGGUCACCUUAGAGUUGCCAUAAGUCAGAAAUGACUUGAAGGCGCACAACAAGAGCGAAGCAAUCCUGAACCAAAAUGGCCCGAUUUUACUGUGGCCAUCUGCAGAGAUGACAUGUCUCAUUAGAGACAAUAAUGUUUCUUAAACUGGAAGGCAAUAAAACAAGAGAAAGACUGCAUUACAGGUGGAUAGCCUUAAGCAAGGAAGUCAUAGCCCUGAGUUUACAGGACCUGAGCAGGAUAACGGAUGAUGGCUGAGGCUCUUGGGUCGCUUUCAUUCGUAGGCCUUCCAUGAAUCAAAACCAACUUGUUGGCAAAUAGCAAGGGUUUGGGGCCAGGAUAUUUGAAAGACUGCUUCCUCCUGUAACAACCCUGCCUAUAACUUGUUUUUGUUUUUUAGACUAGUACAAAUCUUACAAGCCUUAGUUUUAUUGGUUUUCUUUUCUUCACCACUUUGGAUUUACUAGUUGCCUGUGCUUGUAAGUGCGUCAUGCCAGGGCUACACAAUGUCAUAGGAAAGAAAGUGUAACUUCUGGUCCUGAGUUAAAAAUAUUUGAGAAUUUAUUUUUCAUGCAGAGCCAUGUUCGAUUUCCAUUAACAAUGGGACAGUACAUGUAUCUUCUCAGAAAUAAACAUCAAUUAAUAAAGUGUGACUUACUCCAUGGUAAACAUGUUCGAGAUUGUGACAGGAGAGACUCUUAAAGGUCAAUGGAAUGUGUGUAUUUCUUUAUGACAAUCAUUUCUUCCCCCAACCAUAUCUAAUUACAUUCCUUUUAUCUCUUAGAGCUAGAAGUAUUGUACGUUAUUCCCCCCCUCCUCAUUUUUAUCCUAACAACAACCCUAUAAGCCAAUGCAGGUGGAGAAAUGCAAAUGUGGAACCAGUUCUACUGAGUUGGAGCAGUGGACAGCAAUACAGAUCGCCAUUUUCAGCAGCUGUUUGUGUUUCUUGAAACAGUUUGCCAGGCCUCUGAAGUUGACUCUGAGAGUCUUAUCACACCAAAGGUUCUUGUUGGAAUCGUGAAAUGCUGACUUGUCAUCAUUAAUGGCUACAGCAACUAAAGGAUAGAUGAAAGCACUUUGGUUCAGUUCACUACCAGCUUCAGGUGGAAGCCAGUGUUCGCUGCAGGGUGGGCAAAGUGAUCUGGACCAGAGCAUCCUGAAAGAUCUUCUUCCGGACAGUACUGCUAUCAUAGUCGUAUUGCUGCCAUUUAAAAGAAGGAGAAUCAACCAUGAGAUCCUGAAGUGCUGACAACCCCCUCUCACUUUCAUGUAUAACCCAGAAAUAAUACCAACUGAACGCAAUGCACAGAAGCAUUAAUUAAUUGCUUCCACUCAAACUUGGCUCUGGGAAAGACAUUUUAUAAAGUUUCUGUUUUCAUAUUGUACAAUGUUAAAGUAUCAUUGUACUUUAAAACUAGUUUAAUUAACAAAAUUAAAAAUGUAUGAACACCAGUUCUAAAAGCUCCUCUCCCAUUUUUCCUUUCAUGGUUAUGUCUGACUGCAAGUUGACAUACAGGCAUACCUCAGUUAACAAAGCUUCUAACACUGAAGACAUAAUGCCUAUGAACAUAUCUAUUUUGAUAACUGAGGUAUACCUGCAUAACUUGAUAGAGCCAGCUGUACCAUUAGACAGAGGAUGUGACCAGCUCAAGCAGCCAGUUUUGG
Sceloporus undulatus (fence lizard) is the source of this 2292-nucleotide long non-coding RNA. RefSeq lists it as uncharacterized. The transcript has 4 exons. NCBI's taxonomy places the organism in Eukaryota, Metazoa, Chordata, Lepidosauria, Squamata, Phrynosomatidae. The record is from RefSeq and is a predicted model, not a curated record.